AUAUAUGAUUUACAUUUUGAUUUUAAAAUAUAAAUUAGCACCAAAAAUAAUUAAUUUUUAAAAAAAUAUAGCGACUGUUUAUAGCGACAUUCAAACUAACAACACAGCGACAAUUAUUAGUGAUUAUCGCUGUAAUUGGUCGCUGAGUCCAGCGACAGACAAACGAACAAUAUAUGUUGUCGCUGGUUGUUGUCGCUGGUCGCUGACUAAGUUUGAGAAAAUAUAUUUUAAUGAAAAAGAU
Molecule: small RNA, 241 nt
Filed under: Arabidopsis thaliana (thale cress)
Lineage: Eukaryota; Viridiplantae; Streptophyta; Magnoliopsida; Brassicales; Brassicaceae
Description: ATSL279860
Source: RNAcentral